AUUGAACGCUGGCGGCAGGCCUAACACAUGCAAGUCGAACGGUAACAGGGAUCAGCUUGCUGAUUCGCUGACGAGUGGCGGACGGGUGAGUAAUGUCUGGGAAACUGCCUGAUGGAGGGGGAUAACUACUGGAAACGGUAGCUAAUACCGCAUAACGUCGCAAGACCAAAGAGGGGGACCUUCGGGCCUCUUGCCAUCGGAUGUGCCCAGAUGGGAUUAGCUAGUAGGUGGGGUAACGGCUCACCUAGGCGACGAUCCCUAGCUGGUCUGAGAGGAUGACCAGCCACACUGGAACUGAGACACGGUCCAGACUCCUACGGGAGGCAGCAGUGGGGAAUAUUGCACAAUGGGCGCAAGCCUGAUGCAGCCAUGCCGCGUGUAUGAAGAAGGCCUUCGGGUUGUAAAAUACUUUCAGCGGGGAGGAAGGGAGUAAAGUUAAUACCUUUGCUCAUUGACGUUACCCGCAGAAGAAGCACCGGCUAACUCCGUG
Molecule: ribosomal RNA, 490 nt
Filed under: uncultured bacterium
Lineage: Bacteria
Description: partial 16S ribosomal RNA
Rfam family: Bacterial small subunit ribosomal RNA
Source: RNAcentral